This 281-nucleotide long non-coding RNA is filed under the name Elaeis guineensis (African oil palm). RNAcentral describes it as "long non-coding RNA (EGUI_LNC079522)". The record is from RNAcentral. Lineage: Eukaryota; Viridiplantae; Streptophyta; Magnoliopsida; Arecales; Arecaceae.
GGACGAGUGUCCAACAUAAGAUCUGACAUAGAAUCAGUCUACAUAAUAAAAAUAAAAUUAGCAAUAUACUGUAAAAUAUAAAACAAAGAUAUAACAGAACUACAUAAAAUAUUUUACAAUCUUAAUUAUUAGAAGUAAAGACAUUGAUAUAAAGUAUAAUUUUCAUGGUCUUACCAAAAGAUGCACAGCAGAACUCUUACCUUCGUAUCCUAGAACUGCAUAUCGAGGCUGUCCAUCUAAUAGACUCAUCCAAUAUGUCUUAAGCAGAUAUGUUUUAAGCA